This 77-nucleotide transfer RNA is filed under the name Clostridiaceae bacterium. RNAcentral describes it as "tRNA-Arg". It matches the Rfam family "tRNA". From Rfam's summary of the family: Transfer RNA (tRNA) molecules are approximately 80 nucleotides in length. Their secondary structure includes four short double-helical elements and three loops (D, anti-codon, and T loops). Lineage: Bacteria; Bacillati; Bacillota; Clostridia; Eubacteriales; Clostridiaceae. The record is from RNAcentral.
GUGCCGUUAGCUCAACUGGAUAGAGCGUCUGGCUACGGACCAGAAGGCUAUGGGUUCAAGUCCUGUACGGCACGCCA